AUUAAUUAAGUUAAACUGUUAAAAGACAUUAUUAAUAAUAAAUGAACUCUGAGGAUAUAAAUUUAAAUUUUAAAAUCUAAUCAAUUUUUUUAGAUAAAAAUGUAAUCAAUUAUUGCUCAGCUGCCCAACGCACCAUUAUUCCACACGCCUAGAGAGGCUAAUACUCUUGUGGAUAAUUUGACUAAAGCUGGGAGAGCCAAAAGUGAGGACUCCAUUGCUAUCUUACGAUGUAUUGUCUGUGCAAGGUAGAGAUCCUUUGACUGUUGCGCUAAUAAGGUAGCUUUGUGAGAUUGAUGUUGGUUGCUAGAUUUGUGUUGUAAUAUUUGUCUUUUUUGAACUGUUUAGUCAUUUGUGCUAUCAUCACCAGUUGUGUUGAUGAGGUAGUUUUGUCAUUUUAAGUUCUAACGUGCUGGUUGUUUUGCCCUUGGU
Molecule: unclassified non-coding RNA, 429 nt
Filed under: Hevea brasiliensis (rubber tree)
Lineage: Eukaryota; Viridiplantae; Streptophyta; Magnoliopsida; Malpighiales; Euphorbiaceae
Source: RNAcentral